GUACACUCCUACGGGAGGCAGCAGUGGGGAAUAUUGGACAAUGGGCGCAAGCCUGAUCCAGCCAUGCCGCGUGAGUGAUGAAGGCCCUAGGGUUGUAAAGCUCUUUCACCGGUGAAGAUAAUGACGGUAACCGGAGAAGAAGCCCCGGCUAACUUCGUGCCAGCAGCCGCGGUAAUACGAAGGGGGCUAGCGUUGUUCGGAUUUACUGGGCGUAAAGCGCACGUAGGCGGACUAUUAAGUCAGGGGUGAAAUCCCGGGGCUCAACCCCGGAACUGCCUUUGAUACUGGUAGUCUGGAGUUCGAGAGAGGUGAGUGGAAUUCCGAGUGUAGAGGUGAAAUUCGUAGAUAUUCGGAGGAACACCAGUGGCGAAGGCGGCUCACUGGCUCGAUACUGACGCUGAGGUGCGAAAGCGUGGGGAGCAAACAGGAUGAGAAACCCCGGUAGUCCCAUGAU
This 454-nucleotide ribosomal RNA is filed under the name uncultured organism. Its description in RNAcentral is "partial 16S ribosomal RNA". It matches the Rfam family "Bacterial small subunit ribosomal RNA", at positions 331 to 801 of the family's 1533-position model. The record is from RNAcentral.